Long non-coding RNA from Felis catus (domestic cat), 1293 nucleotides. RefSeq lists it as uncharacterized. The record is from RefSeq and is a predicted model, not a curated record. The transcript is spliced from 3 exons. Lineage: Eukaryota; Metazoa; Chordata; Mammalia; Carnivora; Felidae.
CUCUCUCUCUGCCCUUCCCCUGCUCACACUCUGUCUCUCUCUCUCUCUCAAAAACAAAUAGAUGUUGAAAAAUAUGAAAAAAAUUUUACAAGUCUUCUCCAAGUGUUCUUAUGUUUGCUUUCACGAAGAUAUCAGAAGUCACUGGAGGUAUUGUAAGUAAACAAUUUUGUUCUACCUAAAAUUUGGAGACCUUCCUUUAACCUUUAUAAUUGCAGUAACUACACGUAAAUAUUUGUUGAGUGAAUGCACAAAAACGCUUUGCUAAGAUGUGACUCGAUGGCAGUGGAGGUGAGCCAGCGUGUCUUUUCAAUUACUGUGUCUAGAAAUGACAAGCCCCUAGAACCUGUGCACACAUACCUCCCUCUCCCCUUUCUUUAAGCUCAGGGAGACUUUCUUCCAUGUCAGUCUCGAUUUUGCUUUUCUUCCAUUUAUUCUUCUUUGUCUUCCAGGAAUACUCUUUGCCGUCGUCCCUUCCUACCUCCUUUUACUUUGUUUUGACUUCCUUAUCCUUUCCCUUGUCAUUCUGGAAAGGUUUCUCACUUUUGUCCUUCUGGCAACUGAGGAGAUCUUGUUUUUUUUUUGGUUGUUGCCUCAGGUGUUGUCUGGGGGUUCCUUCCCCCACCGGGGGUUCUUUCCUAUCACCCUGUUCCUCUUUACUCGCCCUGCUUAUGCUACUGCUCCCUCUUAGGCCUCCUGACAUCUUUAAAUGACACCAAAACAUUUCCUUGAAAGAUUUUUUCUUCUCUAGUCACUGAGGUACAUAUUUUCCAGAGAUAUCUUUUUCUUCUGAGUCUUCCAGAUGUUGUUUCCUUUUUUCUUGGUAUAAAGGACGCUUCUAUAGUUCUAAAUUAUUUGAUGACUUCCUUAUUUUUUUUUUCAGGAAAACACCAGAUCUCUUUUCAGAUUUGAUGAUGAGAAGCAGAUAUGGCAAAUGAAUUACUCUUGUCCGUGCAUCUGGACUCAAGAAUCAGACAUGGUGCCAAAUACGUCUCUGCGUGAUUUAAUGUAAUUCCUGUACUGACCUCCUGAAAAAGGAACUGCUUCAAUCUCCCUUUGACAGAAAGCUUCGGUGAUGGAUUUGAAUUUUGAAAAGAUCGCUCUGGCUACAAUGUGAAGAAAGGACAUAAAGCAAAACAAUGACAAAAGAAAACAUGGCAAGUAAUGUAAAUGGAAACGUAGAACAGGGAAAUCAGGGCCUUUCAGACGGGUAUCUGUGGCUUCAGACAAUUAGUUAAAUUAAUAUUACUUAAAUAUAUGCCAUAUGUUAGAACUUUGCUGGGUACCCAGUGCAAG